AUGGCUCAGUGAGGCCUUCGGACUGGCCCAGGGAGGUCGGCAACGACCACCCAGGGCCGGAAAGUUCGUCAAACUUGGUCAUUUAGAGGAAGUAAAAGUCGUAACAAGGUCUCCGUAGGUGAACCUGCGGAGGGAUCAUU
Molecule: ribosomal RNA, 140 nt
Filed under: Readerielliopsis guyanensis
Lineage: Eukaryota; Fungi; Ascomycota; Dothideomycetes; Capnodiales; Readerielliopsidaceae
Also listed under: 4 other names
Description: Readeriella guyanensis partial 18S ribosomal RNA
Rfam family: Eukaryotic small subunit ribosomal RNA
Source: RNAcentral